This 668-nucleotide small RNA is filed under the name Burgoa anomala. RNAcentral's name for it is "eukaryotic LSU rRNA". The stretch from base 236 to 389 matches the Rfam family "5.8S ribosomal RNA". Lineage: Eukaryota; Fungi; Basidiomycota; Agaricomycetes; Cantharellales; Hydnaceae. The record is from RNAcentral.
GGAAGUAAAAGUCGUAACAAGGUUUCCGUAGGUGAACCUGCGGAAGGAUCAUUUAUGAACCUUUGAGGGUUGAGCUGGCGUUUAUUCGCAUGUGCUUGCCCUCUCAUCCUUUAUACACCUGUGCACUUUUGAAGGGAGACAUUAGUAGACAUUCACUUGUCGAAGGUAUCUCCCUUUACACUACAUACUCUAAUGAUUACUUUGAAUGUUUAAACGCUUAACAGCAUUUAAUUACAACUUUUAACAACGGAUCUCUUGGCUCUCGCAUCGAUGAAGAACGCAGCGAAAUGCGAUAAGUAAUGUGAAUUGCAGAAUUCAGUGAAUCAUCGAAUCUUUGAACGCACCUUGCGCUCCCUGGUAUUCCGGGGAGCACGCCUGUUCGAGCGUCAUGAAGCUCUCAAACUCAUUAGCUUUUUUGUUAAUGAGUUUGGAUUUGGACUCUGCUGUGUAACAAACAGCUGGUCCGAAAAUUAUUAGCGGAUCCUAGUGCAGCUUGGUUCUACUCGACGUGAUAAUUAUCUAUCGUUGAGGACAUCCUCUUUUAUUAGAAGAUGGCCAAACUAAUCAAAGGAUUGCUUCUAGUCGUCUUCAUUGACAAUUUAUCUAUCAUCUGACCUCGAAUCAGGCGGGACUACCCGCUGAACUUAAGCAUAUCAAUAAGCGGAGGA